This 21566-nucleotide long non-coding RNA is filed under the name Daucus carota (carrot). RNAcentral's name for it is "long non-coding RNA (DCAR_LNC001551)". Lineage: Eukaryota; Viridiplantae; Streptophyta; Magnoliopsida; Apiales; Apiaceae. The record is from RNAcentral.
GGUUUAUAUUAAUUUCAUACUGAUUUAGCUGUUUGAUAAUCUAUGAUUGUAUCUUUAAACACAUUACACUCGAUGAUUUAGGAAUGGUUAAACUGGCAUAUAAAAUCCGAAUUUCCAUAAAGCUUAUAUAUUCCUUUUUGUUGAAUUUCAGUGUGUUGGCUUCAUUCCUGUCAUCAAAGUUUUUGAUAUACAUUUCUGCUCUAAGAAUCUGAUCUUAUUUUUGUUGUGCUUGAAAUAAUUUAUCUGAUGCUGCGCAAUAUGCCUUAAAUCUUACAUUAAGGAAAUUUGACAUGUUUCUUAAUGCUAUUCCUGCUAAUUUAUCCCUUUAAAACUGUAAAACUUUAGUGUUCUACUUGCCGCGGCUUUUAUUUGGUUAGGCAAAAUUAUACAGGGUAAGAGAAAAUGUACGAUAGGUUGGCUCAUCAUCAGAAACCUAGACCACUUUGUAGGAGGCUGCCAAUGGUGAGUUAAAACAGAGUGAGUGAGUAACAGACCAUCAGAGCAAAUGGAUACAUAUUUGUUUUCCUAAUCACUGUCUUGCCAAGUUAUAAGUCAAGGGACACUGCUGAAAGUAGAUACCGAAAAUUGUUAUAAGACCAUCAUGGCAUCAUGUAUAUGCAAUCUAAGACUCUUCACUUAUCGUUCCCAGUCCAGAAUUUGGUGAUUCACUUGGAAGUUCUGAUGCAUUUAAGGAGCAUGGCUCCAGAAAGAGGUAUGCAUCUGCUUAUCCUUAUUCACCAGCCCACUUAUCUGUAUCCCUACUAUUGUUAGAGAAUUAUAGGUUUUGGGAUUUAUUUAUUUUGGGUUUUAUGUGUUUAAAAGUAGUAGUUAGCUCACUUCAUACUCUGCUUUAGAUCUGAUUUACUUGUAUUUAAAUUUUAUCUAUUUUCUAUAUAGGAUGAAGUCUGGAUCGUGCAGUAUAUCCGGCUCCAAAGCAUGUAGAGAGAAAAUGAGAAGAGAUCGAUUAAAUGAUAAGUAAGCACUCUGUCAAUCAGUUUAUCUUCUUCUAUGUUAUCAUCUCUCUUUCCUCUGCGCUUCCAUUGUAUCACUAUGUGAACUUGACCUUUGGUAUUGUCUCAACUCUCAAGGUUCCAAGAACUAAGCUCUAUACUGGAACCGGGGAGGACACCCAAAACCGACAAGGCUAUUAUAUUGAGUAAUGCCAUCCGAAUGGUUAAUCAGUUGAGGGAUGAAGCUAAGAAACUGAAGGAGUCGCAUGAUGCUUUGCAAGAUAAGCUGAACGAAUUGAAGGUGUGCUUGUUUACAAUCUGUUUAUACCUCUUGUUUGGAAGUCAAAUUGGAUUACAGCAAUUUUUUCUAAAAGGAACAAUUGCAUGUGUAUUAGGCUGAGAAGACAGAACUUCGAGAUGAGAAGCAAAAGUUGAAGGCAGAGAAAGAGAUACUUGAACAGCAAGUGAAAGCUUUUCACCCUCAGCCAGGCUUCUUACCCCCUGCAGUAGUUCCUUCUCCGUUUGCAGGUGCUAGUCAAAUUUCUGGUGGCAAGAUGAUGCCAUUUAUGGGCUAUCCUGGAGUUCCCAUGUGGCAAUUUACAACCCCUGCCGCAGUCGACACAGCACAGGAUCAUGUACUCCAUUCUCCAGUUGCCUAAGUUUAACCCGUGCCAAGAACUAUCUUGCUCUUAAAUCUCUCUCUUUUUUUGCCUUUUACUUCUAUGUGUAGCUCCGUAAAAUGUAAUUGGCACCACAAAACGCGGUUUUUAAUUUUCGCGGCGCGGUUGCGGUUUGAAUUUUUCACAAACCGCGCGGUGCGGUGCGGGUUGCGGUUUGACAUAUUAGUAGUGCGGUUCAAACCGCACCGCACCGCAAUAUUAUAUAUAUAUAUAUAGGGGAUAGUUCAACGAGGAACUCCCUUAUCCGAGUAACUGAGUAACUCUGCAUCUGAGCCAUACACGCUACCCUGAUGGUUUUGCAAGUUGAACAAAUGUUCUGCAAAUUAAACAUAUUUCAUAGAACAAAACAUUUUGUAAUGUUCUACAUGUAAAACUUAUAUGAUAUUCAAGAUUUUAAAUGUAAUAAUGAUUUCGGAGAACAUGAUUUGUAAAAUUAUACGUUUUGCAAUGUUUUUAUGAAAUAUUUUACUUGCAGAACAUAUGUGGUCUCCAAGUCUCCAGAAAAAAUGUGGUCUCCAUUGAACUUAACUCUAUAUAUAUAUUAGUAAUUGUCAAAUGAAAUUAUAUUACAUACAUAUAUAUUAUUUAUAAUUAUGUUAUAUAUAUUUGUUAAAUCUCUUUAAAUAAUAGUUAAUUAUUAUUUUAUCAAUCUCGCUUUACUAUUAUAUCAAAUUUGUGUGAAAUGAUUAUAUUAUUAUAACAUGUUUUUUUGUAGUUAGUACUCAUAUUUAUUAUCAUAUUUACAAUUUUGCUUGUGUUGUUCAGUAGUUGUUGUAGUUUUGAAAUGACAAAUAUCAACUAAAUUCAUUAAAAAAAAGUUUUAAUUAUUGUAUAUUUAAAUUUUAUUUCGAACUCGAAUUAAAAAUAUUUAAUCUUAAACAUACAAACCGCACAAACCGCACCGCACCACACCGCAUUUUUGUGGUGCGGUUUAUGCGGUUUUUAUGAUAGCGUGGUGCGGUUGCGGUUUGAGUUUUCAACCAAACCGCAUGCGCGGUUUGGUUCGCGGUUUUAGCGAAAAACCGCACCGCCCGCACCGCGAUCACCCCUAAUCCUGUAUAUCAAUGAUAUUGCUCCAGUCUUUUUUUACUAACAGAUUUUGUUCAGGUCCGCUUGAACAAACUACGCAUCUGAGAUAUGAAAACCCCAGAUCUUAAAAGUAGACGUUAAGGGGCGUUGAAUGGGAAUGAAAAUCAGUAACUCAUGGUUGUGGAUUUAACUACCAAUCGAGAAUGAUAUUCUCAUUCCAUAUAACAAAAUUGUUGAUUCAAAGACCAGCAUAUUAAUUUGAAAUUUUGAAUCUUGUUAACCGAAGAUGAACCAAACAGCCCCUGGAUUAGUAGAUUCGCAAAUGAAAACCCCAAAGAGGAAAAGAUUUAGCCACCGGUGAGAAAUUGGAGUCAUAUUUUCUUUCCUGUUGUUUUCUAAACAAAUCUUAAGUUCCAAUAUCAGUUACUGUAGAUGUUAAAUAUAACGGUUUUUCUAUCAGGAAAAUUUUGUGCUUGGAUCAUUUUGAUUGGCUUGGUGGACCCCCCUGCAAAUACACCAACCACACCAAUCAAAAUCUCCUAUAUACAAAAAUUUCCGCCCUUAGCAUGUGCCCAUGGGCACACACUAGCCAAACCGUAAAUAUAAAUAUGUAAAUCGCAUGAUCUGAACCGUGUUCGAAUAAAUUGAAGACAACUGACGAGUACUCGAAAACUGGUCCGGACACCGGAUUAUCAAUCGACAAAAACUCGUGGAGAAAAAUCAGGCGGCAUAAAACAAUUUAAACAUACACUGAACAUUAUGUAUCGAAAAUAUUGUCUCGUGUAAGCACUUACUGUGUAAAUUUACCCACACAAAUAAAUCACCAUAAAGACAAUCAACACAAGUUCAUACUAGAAGCGGUAUCGCUUUUCCUUAUGGUGAUGAAUUUGUUUGGGUAAUCCUCCACAGUUCCCGUGCUAAUUCUACGACAAAAGCAGCUCCGUCGGAAAAGCCUAAAAUUGUUUUGGUAUAUAAGUAGAAGCUUUGGUAAUGAAUAUCAUGAACGGUGUUGGUAUUUAUAGGAGAGGAGAGGAGAGGCUAUCAAGUGUUCUAGGGUUGAGCUCGCUCAUUUUGAAGGAGGCUGAGAUCUAGAAUUGGCAUUAUUCAUUGUUACUGCUCCUACUAGUUUGGUUUCCAAGAAAGAUGCUCUAAUUUGAAUGCUUUGUCAAAAGCAACGUUGGGUGGAUCGCGUUGGUAGGGAAUCAUAUCGAUAGAGUUAAAAGUGUUACUCCCUCCGUCCCCAUCAAUUGUUUACAUUGAAGGGGGACACGGAGACCAAGAUAAUAUAUGAAAAAUGAGUAAAUUCAUAUGAAAAGUGGGUAAAGUGGUGGGAUCUAUCAAUAUUUAAUAGUAGAUUUGAGAUAGUGGAGGAAAGUAGUGGGUGUAAUAGUAGUUUUUAUUGUUAAAUACUCCCUCCGUCCCUUUUUAUAUGUCCAUUUUGAAAAGAAAAACACAUACCAAGGAAUAAUUGAUUGUAUAAACUUUUUCAUUAAAUACCACUAAUUAAUAUCUUGAAAAUGGUGGAAUACCCCUACUUUAUGUCUUAGAAAACAUGAAUUCAACCAAGUUUUAAAUAAGUCAAGCCUUGAAAAUUGAAAUUAUGGAGAUAUAUUUGAAAAACUAUCAUUAAAUUAGUUUUGAAAGUAUAAAUGGACAGAUAAAUAGGGACAAAUUUUUACUUCCAAAAUGGACAGAUAAAUAGGGACGGAGGGAGUAUGAGAUAGUGGAGGAAGAUAGUGGGUAUAAUGAUGGGAAAAACUUACUAUUUAUAGUAACGUAAAGAAAUGAGAGGGACAUCCCAGUAACGGUAAAGAAAUGAGAGUGAUAGAGGGAGUAAGUAUCAGCUAGUUUACACUUCACUGAUUGUGUUCAAAUUUUUUAAUUAGAUCACUUAUUAUAAAUUUGACUCAAAUAAGUUAUUAAUUUAAAAAAUUUCAUUCUAUCAUUAGUCGAUAUUUUUUAAGUAUUAUAUAUUGAAUUUCACACAUUUUUUAUGAAUGUUACUAUAUCCAAAUAAAAGAUUUUCGAUUUCUAGUAUUUUAGAUAAUAUUGUUAGAUUUUUAAUAUUUUAUCAAUUAUUUAUUUUUAAUUUUUUGAUUGUUUUGUUUGAUUUAAAUAAAAAUAAAUAAUAGAUAAACUUUGAAAAUCUAAAAAUAUUUUCUAAUAUACUAGGUAUUUUUGCCCGCGCUUCGCGUGCUCUAAGUGCAUCCAUUAAGAUUUUGCUUUUUUUUUUCUUUUAAAUCAUAUAUUUUUAUAUUGUUUUGUUGUUUUGUUGUUAUAUAUUUUUAUAUUGUUUUUUUGUUAUUGUUUUGGAAAUUAGUUACAUCAAAACCCUAUAUAUAUGUUAAGAGAAUAUUUUUAUAAAAUUUAUAAAUAUUUUAUUUAAUCAAUUAUAAAUUUUCUAUUACUUUAAUUUAUUUUAUUUAUAAAUGACAUGGGUCAAAUUAAAUUAAAUUACUAUUUUAUUAUUAUUAUGAAUAAAUAUUAUAUACAUCAUCAAAAUAUUAUUUUAUUAAAAAUAAUAAUUAUUUUCAUGUGAAACAUUGAAAAAAGAAAUUAAUUUUUAUAAAAUUCUAUUAAGCAUUAUUUUAUUUAUCUACAUGUCUAUUCAAAGAAAAGCUCAAACAUUCUACCACACUUAAAAAAUCACUUUUUUGGACUGAAUAAAAUUACAAUAUACAAUUAAUAGAAUUAAUACAAAUAUUCUCUUAAAUGAUGAUAUCAAAUAAAUUACAAACUCCUAGACCAAAAAAAAGUAAAUUACAAACUCAAUAUUAUUUUAAAUGAAAUAAUAUAGCUAUCUUUCUCCAUGUCUCGGUCUAUAUUUCUCUUUUGCUAAGUGGCAUUCGCUACUUUAUAUUUAGUCAUUCAGGUUCUUUUACUGUCAUCUGAUCAAGCUAUUGCUGAUGCAGCCACUUAAGAUUCUCCGAUAUAAUAAUAAAAUUCUGAUAUCUUACCCAGAAAAAAAGUCACUGACAUUCAUAUCAAUGGUGUAGGUCUAGACCAAGCAGAAUCCAUUCAUUCAUAUGAAUUUCUAUAAUUAGAAGAUUUUCUGUCUUUGUUGGUUCCAUUAGGCAAUCACCUUCAUGUAACAUUAGUAAGAUGCACCAUAUAAUCAGAUAACAUUAACACACGUAACAGAAUGUAUUCGUGCAAAGCUAAUCUAGGAACCGAGGUCAAACUACUAAUAUCUACUACAAAAAAUCUUGUAUAGCUCGACCCCAGAGGAAUUACAUGACCAUCAUUAUGGUAUUACUUCUCUCUUCUUUCAUUUUCUCAACAACAUUUUUCUAAACUUGUCAUUAGAUUUCGGCUGCUCGUCUGCAACUUCCCCGACCACAUCAGGUUUUGUGUUGAUGUUGCUAGUAUAACCAAGUUGCCUGACAUUCUUUGGAGCUGCAAAAGUAUUUUUGCCUUUCAUCUGCACCUCUUUNNNNNNNNNNNNNNNNNNNNNNNNNNNNNNNNNNNNNNNNNNNNNNNNAAACCUGAUGUGGUCAAAGUAAAGUACUACAGAAUACAUGUGACUUUGUCCAGAACAAACGUUGUCUAAAGCUUGUAGGAUAAUGUUCAAGUUAAAAUUCUAUAUUGGAAUGGUUAUUUGCACCAUAAAAAAAAUGAAAUUGAUGAGUUGGGAGUAUAAGACGAUACCUACUUGUGGAUCUGCCUGCAGAAUGAAAUCCUGUUGACCGAAUUACUCAGAAUAUAGCUACCUGUGCUUAAUCAGAAUUAACAAAACUAUAAUUCUUAUUUAAAGAGAUAUUGUGUAAUAAUCAAUCGAAACAAUAGUAACCGAUCAUGGGGAUAGGAGAAUACCAACCUGUGGACGACAAUAAGAUUCAAGAAUUAGAAAUCUGGAGAAGAGAAGAUUAUUAUCAGUUUCAAAUUAAAUUGUAAUCUAGAUCUUGUUAAACAUGACAAAUGAUUUGAAAUACCGGAUAAAAACUUAUUUGUAGUGAUUAAUAUCGCAUUUUUAUCUGAAACAGAAUUAAGAAAAAACAAAAAACAGAACAUACAGGUCAGUAGUCUAUCCAGGCCUGAAGUCGGAUGCCCGACAGUAUGGAGUACUGACCACACCUUGAAAAUAAAAACACAAUUCUAUGUUCAAUGAAAUACAACAUCCGUAAAUGAUGAUCAACAACAAACAAUAACAAUUUGAUUGUGCUGAUGUUUUCCAAGUAGUACUGAUGUCUUCUCCAAAGUCGAAGAAGAAAACAAUAGAACACCUAUUUAUUAGAUAAUACCAAAGUUAAAUGUCAUAAAACAAUAAAAGAACGUCUUACAAAAAAAGUAAAAAGAACCGGAAAAUUACUAAAAAGCAGUGCUCACUGAAAUAUCCUUGUAAAAUGAAGAAGGUAAUACCCCUAGCCAAUUAAACUCCCAGCCAAUGCUGCGAUACCCCGGAACAAUGCAGAAGCCAUGUUCAAUUUUCCUGCUGAGAACAGAGCGAACUUCUGGUAUCAGUGAAUUUAUCUUGUAUUUAAGCUAACUUUUAUCGAGAAUAUACCAUGGUGCAUACUUAAUUACUAAAGUAUCAUAUCUAUUACAAACUGGGUUUUAGGUGACCAAUUUCAAAAUAAGAAUGACCUGCAUACCAGAGUGAUGAUUAUGAACCAUAAAACUUGAAGAAGAAAAUGGCUGUUGACAACGGAAUGUGCUUCUGUCUAUUGCGUACACAUGGAAUGUUGAUGCUUUUAAUACCUGAUUCGUGUAGUCGUGUCAAAACACCAGGUUGAGGUUAAAGGAGAACCUGGAGAUUCAGACAUGUUGUGAGGUGCAUAAAUCUUCAUGCUUUGCGAAGAGAAUUGCUUCUCCUCAUCAUUGAUCCCCGGAACGUUAGAGUGCUACUUGGAGUCCUACACUCUUAAGGAUUUCUGAUUCAUGUAGUCGUGUCAAAACACCAGGUUGAGGUGAAAGGAGAACCUGGAGAUUCAAACAUGUUAUGAGGUGCAUAAAUCUUCAUGCUUUGCGAAGAGAAUUGCUUUUCCUCAUCAUUGAUCUCCGGAACGUUAGAGUGCUACUUGGAGUCCUACACUCUUAAGUGAACAUGAAGAUUGAAAUUAGUAUCGGAUCAUAUAAGAUAAAAGAAUGAUGGACUACUAACCGGAAGUGUUCGGAGACACGUGAGUUCCACCAUUAGUAUACGGAUAAGUCACAUAAGCUGCAAAUGAAGGAGAAGAGAAAAAAAUUCUUAGUUAUAUGGUAUAAUUUGAGUAUGAUACUGCGUAGAGGUAAAUGACACCUUCUUCUGUUCCUGUAAUAUUUUUGGUUGUGUUGUCAGUUUCAUCGCCAAAUCUCAGUGCCAACAGUUUUUCAACACUUGACCUCUACCUAUGCAUCUAGAGCUGCAGAUGAUAUAAACAUUGUGAAAUUUGGCAAUGUACAUGAUCCUUCAUACCAACCUUAAAAAAAUUACCAACUAAUGGCGCUUUGCGAGGAGCAAGGAGAGGUUCUUGGGAAUUUAUCAUAUUGUUGACACCUGGUCUAGGCAUAAUUAACUUCCAAAAGUUAAUUAUGCCUAGACCUCUGCCUCUUCACUUUUGAACUGAUAAGUGUAGGUUUAAGAGAUUUCUGAUUCAUGUAGUCGUGUCAAAACACCAGGUUGAGGUGAAAGGAGAACCUGGAGAUUCAAACAUGUUAUGAGGUGCAUAAAUCUUCAUGCUUUGCGAAGAGAAUUGCUUCUCCUCAUCAUUGAUCUCCGGAACGUUAGAGUGCUACUUGGAGUCCUACACUCUUAAGUGAACAUGAAGAUUGAAAUUAGUAUCGGAUCAUAUAAGAUAAAAGAAUGAUGGACUACUAACCGGAAGUGUUCGGAGACACGUGAGUUCCACCAUUAGUAUACGGAUAAGUCACAUAAGCUGCAAAUGAAGGAGAAGAGAAAAAAAUUCUUAGUUAUAUGGUAUAAUUUGAGUAUGAUACUGCGUAGAGGUAAAUGACACCUUCUUCUGUUCCUGUAAUAUUUUUGGUUGUGUUGUCAGUUUCAUCGCCAAAUCUCAGUGCCAACAGUUUUUCAACACUUGACCUCUACCUAUGCAUCUAGAGCUGCAGAUGAUAUAAACAUUGUGAAAUUUGGCAAUGUACAUGAUCCUUCAUACCAACCUUAAAAAAAUUACCAACUAAUGGCGCUUUGCGAGGAGCAAGGAGAGGUUCUUGGGAAUUUAUCAUAUUGUUGACACCUGGUCUAGGCAUAAUUAACUUCCAAAAGUUAAUUAUGCCUAGACCUCUGCCUCUUCACUUUUGAACUGAUAAGUGUAGGUUUAAGACGAAAAAUUCACAUUAAAUUUUUACUGUAAAUUGAAUAGUAGAAUGAAAUAUGAGAUGAUACCUGAGUUUAUUGUGUUUUCAUGUCUAGUUUCGAAAUCAGAAGCAUUUGAUUGGAGACUACUGAUAGCAACAAAUCUAAAAUCUAAUGAUAGCAGCAAAUUCCUAAAUUAUGAGAAACUGAAUCACUUAAAGAUUAUUGUAACAAAGGAAAUUAAAUUGGAUUUUAAUUGGAGAAAAAUUGCUAAAAGAUGAAUCAUGACAAAUCGGAAUCCUUGUAUACCUGCUGGUUUUUUCCGGUUAUUAUUGCUGGUUAGUAGCCAUGAAACUUCAAGUAUUCCUGUAGUAUCCUCACAUUGUCUGUUUGGCCACAAAGAAAAUAAAUAACAUAAAUUUCAAUAAUAACAAAAUUGCUAAAAUAUGAAUCAUGACAAACCGGAAUCCUUGUAUGCCUGCUGGUUUUUUUCGGUUACUACUGCUGGUUAGUAGCCAUGAAACUUCAAGUAUCCCUGUAGUAUCCUCACCAUUGUCUGUUUGGCCACAAAGAAAUUAAAGAACAUAAAUUUCAAUAAUAAUAAACCUUGAACAAUAUUAACUCCUUACAAAUUAUUUUUCACUGCAUUAUAUAAAAGAUUAUAUACACAAUUAGCUAAAACUAUAUUGUAGGGAUAUGAAAUUGUUCUCAUAUCAGGUGCAGGAACAUCUGUCACCAAUCAGAUCAUGUAUCUACUGCAUAAAAACUAUGCUAAUUCAUUCUAGCUCAAAAAUACUCACCUCCUCUUGAUUACAUCAUAUCCCUCUUUUAGCACCACCGUAAAGUAUCCUAAUCACUACUCUUUUCCAAGUCAUUAGUAUGCUGAAGCAUUCACCUCGUCAUGAUCAACCAACAAACAUCUAUCAAUCAAGUUAUUUUUGGCCAUUUACGACCCAAAUAGAUUUUAAUUUCGAUAUGAUUCUUAUAUUUAUACUACAAAACAUUUAUACUUUUUAAUGUAGAAAGCAAGAACCUUAUACCAUUAUAUAGAGCAUGCUAAAAGAGAGAACAAACAUAAGACUAAGCAGAGGCGGGUAACGACCUACAUUACUCAACCAAAUAGAAUGCAACAAACUAAACACUUACAGUUUACACAUGUAUGAGCCCAACUCUCCCUCGAUGAUUAUUAAAUUACCUUCGAAAGUUUAAUUAGCUGUCACUAUAUCAAAAAAAAAUAAAUUCUAUUGGUCAAAAAGAAUUUAGGAACACAAAUGUUUGAAAAUUAUUACCAUCAUGUUGCUGAAAACUUGUUCGAGCAUUUCAUCAAACAUUUGACCUGCACACUGCAAACUUGUUCCUUAUCAGUUUAUCAUUGUCUCCAUCCAUAUCUGCAAACUGCAAUUAUAAGUUUAGGAUCGAACAAAGAAAGGAUGAGGAAAUUAACGGCAUUUCAAAGCAAUGGUAAUAAAACAAAAAAAAUGGAGAUGAAAAUUCAUACUAACCCGAUAUUAGACAAAACUGUAGCCAGAAUUGUAGAGAUGGAGAUUGCUUUGUUUAUAACAAUGAAAUUUGAAAUUGGUUUGUUGUUACAAAGGACACGGCCAACAGAGAUAGAGGAUUGCUGAGGAAGCCAUCGGCAAGUGGAAGAUCCGUACCGCUUGGUUUGAAAAUGUUACCAUUGUCUGUGUUCUGUAUUCUAGAUGUUUCCCGUAAGCUUCGUAAGUAUAUAAUAAAGUACCGUAUAUACGUGUGUGCAUAUAAUAAAGUACCGUAUAUACGUGUAUUUAGUGAAAUCUUUUUAAAGAGAUUAAAGAGAUAUACAUGUACACAUGAAAUCAAUUAAAUUAAUCAAAAUAAAAAGGUAAUAAAUCAAAAUAGCUAAUUAACAAAUUUAAUGGUGUAAUAAUAUAUUAUUUUUUAAAUGUAAUCUUGUGGAAAUUUUUAUAGCGGUAUUUUAAUUUUAAAUAUUUUAAGAAUAGGCGAUUAGUAGUUCAAGAAGUAAAUUAACUUUUCAAUUUUUGAAUUUUGAAUGCAAUAUCGUAAAAAAAAAUCUUUUAGAGUGUUUCGGAAGUCUUUCCAUGUUUAAUUCAAAAGCGUUAGGAAGUUAAUAAUUAAUAUAGUGAAAUUUGAAUUUUGUAUUUUGAGUAUAAUAUCAUACAAAAAAAAUUUCAGAGUGCUUUGGAAGUCUUUCCAUAUUUAAUCGGAGGAAAUAGAAAGUGAAUAAUUACAAUUAAAGGUAGGCAAAUAUACAGAUUUACACGUAUAUAUGAUAUCAAUUAAAUUAAUCAAAAUAAAAAAGUAAAAAAUCAAAAUAACUAAUUAACAAAUUUAAUGGGGCAUAACAUUACCUUUUUUUAAUGUAAUCUUGUGGAAAUAUUUUAGCUGUAUUUUAAUUUUAAAUAUUUUAAGAAAAAACGAUUGGUAGCUUAAUAGGUAGCUUUACAGUUUUUGAAUUUUGAAAGCUAUAUCAUAUAAAAAAAUCUUCUUGCUUAAGAAGUCUUUCCAUUAUUAAUCCGAAAUAAAUAGGAAGUUAAUAAUUAUUUUGAAUUUUGAAUUCGAUUACUCAUUAUGCAAUGAAGGCAUGUGUAUAUUCGGAUAUAUCACAUUUUCAAAUGCUAGCACCGAUUAUGGGAUUGAUUUAGCAAGUGUAAUACAUAAUAAAGUCUACUAUUUAAACAUUUCCAUACGUAACACGCUUUUAUAUGUAAAGCUUAUGUGUUUGGUAUCCCAAGCAUUAAUACGAAUUAAAAAAGUAGAACAAUAUAAAAAUUCAAUAAAUCAUAGCAUAGCACACUUUUAAUACCUUCAAAUUAGUUUUCUACAAUUAAUAAUUAAUAUAUAUAAUUACAAACGGGUUAACGGGUCGGAGCAGGCAAAAAAAAAGAAAAUUACCGAAGUACCCUUAUUUUGUAUUGGAAAAGCAAACUAUCCACUAGCGCUCAUUAAGAUAAUAUAGAUUAGAACUUGGAAUCUUUCAUUUGGAUGUAAUACCACUCAUAGAAAAUGUGUGAAACUCAAUAUAUAAUAUUUUAAAAUUUUCGACUACAAUAAAAUGAUAUUUUUGAUAAAAAAAUUUCAAAUAAAUGACUAAUUUGAGUUAAAUUUGCAAUAAGUGACAUACUUAAAUUUUUGAAAGCAGCCGUAAUCCUAAAGUUAAACUGGGCCUUCUUUACGCCAAUUUCAAUUUCAUCUAAUUUGCCGUAAAAUACUUCCACCGUCCCGACGUUAACUUUGAACAGCUUAUUUAAGAUUCAUUAACCACGUAAUAAUAUAAUAUAUAUUAAAAUUUUGCUUUUAAAAUUGAGUUUUAGCUUCUUGCGAACAGCUUUUGAAAUUAAACCCCCGAAUUAGGAGCUGAGAUGUAGAUUGUAGAAAGAGGUUACCACAACCCCUAGGCACUUUCCUCUGGAAUUGAAAUCUUCAAAUCAUUGAACCAAACUGAUGUAAAUUCUUAUUCAACUCAAACAGGGUCGCAUAGAAGGCACUACGGUUUUGGAGACACUUCAACUAACAUUCAACAAUAUAUAUACUAUUAAUUUAUUUAUCUUCCGCAGAGACGCGCAAACUGACUCCUCCGCUAGCAAGGACCUGUAUCGCUUUAAAUUAGAUGAAAUCAUGAAAAUAUGGACAAUACAAACUGCAAACUGCAAACUCGCAAGUCGCAACCCGGAGUUUUUGUAAAAGAUUAAUAACACAAGUACACAACGAUGCUAACACGUUGUCCUGUAAAAUGUACAAUCAUUUUUAGUGUCCUGGUAUGUAGUAUUUCACUUGGCCACUCUGAUCGCUUGGGUUACUACUGUACAAGUGACGGUAACUACACAAGUAACAGUAUUUACAAAAAGAACCUUGACAGUGCUCUAGCCAAUCUCUACUCCGCUGCAAACGCGAGCAACUCCGGUUUUUAUAAUGCUUCUGUGGGAGAAGGCUCGGACAGAGUGGAUGCAUUCGUGCUCUGUAGGGACGAUGUUCAACCUGAUAUCUGCAGAAGCUGUGUAAAAGACUCAACAGACAUGCUAAGAAAGUCGUGUCCUAACCAAAAGGAGGCUUUCGAGUGGUACCAAGAGUGCAUGUUAAGAUACUCGAAUAAUUCUAUUCUAAACAAAGUUGUGACAGAGCCGACGUGGAGGCUGAGAGGAGAUUAUGUAGAAGACGGGGCUCAGUUCAAUCAAAACCUUAGAGAUUUGCUGGAUGAUUUGAAAGCACAAGCAAUUCAAAGGAAGUUUGCUACAGGCAAAACAAGGGGUCCGCAAUUUAAGACCAUUUACGGGCUUGUGCAGUGCACCCCUGAUUUAUCUUCAAUCCAGUGCAGUAACUGCCUUGAUAACGCUAUCGGAUAUCUCUCAACAUGUUGCAGUGGAAGAAUAGGGGCGCAAAUAUUGAAACCUAGCUGUAGGCUUCGGUUUGAAGUUGUGCAGUUUUAUAAUGAGACAACUGGCACUGAUGCACAACCACCCUCCCGGUCACAGCUGCCUCGACCAGGUAAACUAAUGAGUUUCCUUGGCAUAUUUCCGGAUUGAUUAAAAUUUAUUGAGUAAAUUUUCUUCAACAUUUUUGUAGUUGCUGGAAAAGAAGAUAAUAGCAACCAAACCUUAAUUAUUGCUGCUGUUGUCAUUGUUGGUUGUGCUAUACUCCUGCUUGUUCUAGUUUGCAUCAUUAAAAGAAAGAAAAAUCAGAUGACUGCUACCGGGACAUUGCUGGGUAAGUGUUAUAUUGCAGAGUUUUCAGCAUACUCAUAUAUGUCGGUUAAGUCACAUAAACUUUGUUCUUCAGAUGACAGUAUGGAAGAUAUGAAUAGCACUGGAUCUUUGCAAUAUGACUUUGGUACUAUCGAAGUUGCUACCAAUCACUUUUCAGAUAGAAAUAAACUUGGAGAAGGUGGAUUUGGAGCUGUUUACAAGGUAAGCACAGAGUCAAGAGAAAUACGACUUUAAUUAUCACAAGAGGCAGCAUAAUACAUUCACUAAUAGCUUAUUUAUAUGAAAGAAAUUACUUUGCUAAAGUUAUUUUCCUUAUUGCAGGGUACACUUCAAAAUGGCGAAGAAAUAGCUGUUAAGAGGCUUUCUAAUGGUUCGAAUCAAGGUCAGCAAGAAUUUCAAAAUGAGGUCAUAUUAGUAGCAAAACUGCAGCACAGAAAUUUGGUUAGACUUCUUGGUUUCUGCUUUGAAGGAACUGAAAGGCUUCUUAUCUAUGAGUUUGUGCCUAAUGCAAGUCUUGAUCACUUCAUAUUUGGUACUACUUGUUUACCCUUAUAACACUUCGGUUAAAGUUUAUGUUAUCUUUCAAUAAUGAAUACCUAUGUUUCUGCCAAAAUUCUAAGAUACUAAAUUAAUUAGUAAUUAAUGGUGGUAUAUGGUUUGCAUGUCAAAGAUUCAGCGAGGCGUUCAUACAUGGACUGGGAAAAACGAUACAAGAUCAUAUGUGGAGUUGCUAGGGGACUUCUUUACCUUCAUGAAGAUUCUAGACUAAGAAUUAUUCAUCGUGAUCUUAAAGCAAGCAAUGUUUUGCUAGACACAGAAAUGAAUCCUAAAAUUGCAGACUUCGGCACGGCCAGGCUAUUUAAUAUGGAUGAAACUCAGGGAAUUACUCGCAAAAUUGUGGGAACAUAGUAAGUCUUCUAUCUAAUCUUACCAUUUAUGGCCAAAAAGCUUAAGAAUUAUAUAUUUAUUUCCACUAUAUUUUAAAAACUAAAUUUGUCAAAUAAUUUAUCUGUACAUUGCAGUGGAUAUAUGGCACCAGAAUAUGCAUUCUAUGGACAGUUCUCGGCUAAGUCUGAUGUUUUCAGCUUUGGCAUAUUAGUUCUGGAAAUAGUAAGUGGUCAGAAGAACCAUAGUUUCCAAAACGGGGAGAAUGUAGAGAACCUUGCAAGUUUUGUAAGUUGUGUCUUAAAAACAUUUCAUGAUCAUUUUCAUAUAUCAAAUGCUAUAUCAUAUUUGAUCAUACUAAGUUUUUUCAGGUCUGGAAGAAUUGGCAAGAAGGAACUGCAUCUAACAUUAUAGAUCCGGCAAUAAAGAAUAAUUCAGCAUCCAUACGCGAAAUGAUAAAAUGUAUUCACAUCGCGUUAUUAUGUUUGCAAGAAAAUGUUACAAACAGGCCAACUAUGGAUUCAGUGAUGCUUAUGCUUAAUAGCUUCUCUGUAGCUCUUGCAGUACCUUUAGAGCCAGCUUUCUUUAUAUCGAGCAGCAUUGAUCCAGAGCUGCCAUUGCUUGCGGAUGAUAAUAAUUCAAGAGUUAGCGACAAGUCUAGUGAUUACUCUAUUAAUAGAGAUCCAAUUACCGAUCUCCAUUCACGAUGAUUAUUUCACUGGUGUUCCUUUGUUUUUGAUAGAUUGUUUCCAACUUUGAUGGUGCCUACUUUCUGGUUUAACGUAAUUUCAUUAAUUGAGAAUCAGAAUCAGUUAUCCAUUAUUCGUGACGGUUUAAAUAUAAUUACAGUUGUCUCGACUUUCAGAAAUCAGAACUGCUGCGGUCUUUGUUUAGUUUUUAAAUUAAAACGAAUAUAGAAAGUAAUAAAAUUCCGAUUCAACUCAUGAUUUUAAUCACACGGAUUACAAAACAAAAAAUCUAUUAUAUUCUUCUUUUUAUCUCAAAAACACUAUAUUCUACAAUACAAAAGAUAUAUACAAUAUUUAAUAAUAAUUAUUAGUACAUGCAUUAUUGAUAUAAAUUAAAUUUUUAUUAUAAUAUUAUAAUCUACUUUAUAAUAUUAAAAAAAUCAAGUGUAAUAUGAAUAGAGGAGGGCCAGCUAUGGGAAAAAAGGCAGUAGUCCUACGAUUAAACAAAAGGUAGCAUUCUUAGUAUUUCUGAUUUACAUAAACAGAUUAAUAAUGUAAAAACUGAAAAAGCCGGAAGUAUUCUCCAAACUAGGGUUGUCAAAAAAAUCCGAAAAAUCCGAUAUCCGUCAGAAAAAUCCGUUACCGUAUCUGGAAAAAAAGCGGAUAUGAUCCGAAUUCGAAAUAAAAUGGAUAUUAUCUGUAUUCGAAUCCGGGGAUUGCGGAUACGGAUAUGGAUAUAGGCGUAUCCGUAUCCGAAAAUAUCCGUAUCCGAAAUUAUUUAUAUAUAUAUUUAUUGUUUAUUAUAUAUUUAAUUUAUUUUAUUUUAUCACAUAAAUUUUGAACAAAAAAUAAUAUUUAAAAUAAAAAAGAAAUAUUGACUUAAAAACAAAAAGAAAAUAUAAAGUACAUAAAUUAGCCCAAAAAAAAAAAUUAAAGUACAUACAUGCCACGCUUCGUUUUAACCCUAAGUUCCACUCCCAAAUCUUAAAAUAGGUUCAUUCUCUCUCCCAUUUACAAUGCCAGAAUCAACACUUUCUUUACUAAUUGAGACUGACAUUUUUUCUGCUCAACUUCACCGUCCCAAAUCUCCCUUCAGGUUGGUGUUGAUUUGUGUUUCAGGUUCUUGGGUUUCAGAGUUGAUGCCUGAGAUUCAUUUUGAGAUUCAGUUUGGUUUUUGGUUUUUGGUUUCAAGUGGGAAUUUGAAGAUCUAAAAAUUUUUGGAUCUUGAUUCUUGAUUAAUAUCGGUAUAUUUAGUUUUUGAUGAUGUCCGAAAAAACGGAUCUGGAUAUUAUCUGUAUCCGGAUAAUAUCUGACGGAUACGGAUACAGAUUCCAGAUAAUAUCUGGCGGAUUCGGAUACGGAUAUGAGCAAAUCAAUAUCCGUAUUAUCUGUUUGACACGUAUAACUUGAUUACCACUUCUUUAUAAUCUAAAUUUUAAUAUUAAAAAUAGCAAGCUCCAAUUAGAUCUAUAAAUAUACCGUCAUCAAUUUCAACAUCGUUUAUUUGUCUCAUCAUCUCAUCUUGCAUAUGAAGACAUACGUGUUAAUUUAUUCUAUAUUUGUUCGACUCAAUUUUUUUUUUUUAGAUGUCGUAUGGCUGUCCUUCUCUUCAAAAAAUAGCAAGCUCCAAUUAUGAGGUGUACACUUCGUCAAAGGUAGAAAAGUGGAAAAAGUAAUCAACCUACUAAGUACUGGUACACAACACGUGUGAAAAUAUAUGAAAACUCAGAAAUACGUACAAUCUCAGUAUCAAUGAAUGUAAUAUUCAUAGGAAAAAAAGCAGGACUAGGUGAAAUUGAAAAGGACUUUUAAAUGACUUCAGAAAUUAUAAUACGUAGUAGAUACUAUGUUGUUUCUUUUGCAUAUUUUGCCUUGACCGCGACUUGGUAUAUGUUCUAGUUAUGGCAUGUGUUUAAAGAAGAGUAGGCAUAUUGUUUGGCAACUUCCCUGAGGUCAGUAACAGUCCUGUUCACAUAUCAACUAGCUGCAAUAGUGUUUAAAAAUUAAAAGGGUCACUGUUACAUAAUUUUUAAGACUCUUGAACGAACAUUUAUCAGACUAUCAACUUAGGUAAAAACACGCAAUUUGACUUUCUGGCUAGCAACUAUAAUCUUAACCAAAAUUUGGGGACUUUGUUGAGUUGGAAUUACUACAAAUUUGCUAAACCCUGUAGUGUAUUCCAAAGAAUCAUAAUACAAAGACACUAGUUAAUGGCAUUUCACAUUAAGAGUUUAAUCUUUUUUAGUGUUCUAAUAGGGUGUAUCUGUGUUAGCCAGUCCGAUUAUUUAUUCAAUGUCUGUGGAUCUAAUGGUAACUACACAAAUAACAGUGUUUACAAAACGAACCUUGACAAAGCUUUCGACAACCUCUUAUUUGCAGCAAACACUAGCAACUCUGGUUUCUACAAUGCCUCCUUUGGUGAAGAAUCCAACAGAGUUUACACGCUCGUGCUCUGCAGGGGUGACGUUCAACCUGAUAUAUGCAGAAGCUGUGUAAAAGACUCAAUUAACAUGCUAAAAGAGCAAUGUCCUCACCAAAAGGAGGCUGAUGAGUGGUACCAAGAGUGCCUCUUAAGGUACUCGAAUACUUCUAUACUUAACACCUUAGUGACAGAGCCAACUAGGAUGCACAGUGGUACCGUUGCAAGUGAUAAGGCUCAAUUUAAUCAAGACCUCAGAGAUAUGUUGGAUAAUUUGAAAGCACAAGCUAUUCAACAAAAGUUUGCCACGGCAAAACAAACGACACAGGAUCGGACUAUAUAUGGGCUUAUGCAGUGCACUCCUGACUUGUCUUCGACGCAGUGCAGUAACUGCCUUGAUAAGGCUAUUGAAAAUAUUCCAACAUGUUGCAGUGGAAGAACAGGUGGCCAAGUAUUAAAACCUAGCUGUAGACUUAGAUUUGAGAUUGGACCUUUUUAUGAUGGGACGCCUUCGGUUGAUAUACAAACACCUUCGGCUAAACAACCUCCUGCAGGUAAAUUAAGAACUACAUUUGCAUAUUUUUGGAUUGAUAAUGCUAUCUGCAACAUGUUCAAUUUUUUUUAUUUUUUAUUUUUUUGUAGUAGCUGGCACAGAUAAUAAUAAGAAGCAAACUAUAAUUAUCAUUGUUGUCGUCAUUGUUGGUACUGUUACACUCCUGCUUGUUCUAUUCUGCAUCUAUAAAAGAAAGGGAAAACCGAGGACUGCUGCUGGGAUAUUGCCCAGUAAGUUAUUUAAAUUACUGCAUCAUGUUGCUUUAGAUGAAUUCCAAGUAACUGAUACUAAUAUCUAAACAAACAAGCUAAUAUCGCGUUUGUGGUUUAAUUUUCUCCAUGAAAUGCAAUGUUUCUGCAAUUACUUUUUCCUAUCUUCUUCAGAGGACAUGGUGAAUUUACAGACCAUCCAAUCCAUUCAAUAUAACUUUGGUACUCUUGAAGUUGCUACAAAUUGCUUCUCAGGUGGCAAUAAACUCGGACAAGGUGGUUUCGGAGCAGUUUACAAGGUUAGAGCCCCGAAUUCUAGUUAAAUAGUUGUGGAAAGAGGCAACGAAAUACAGCUAGUCUUAGUUAAACUUUUUUAUAGUAUUAUUUCACUUCUGGUAUAGUUAUGUUUAUGUUGUCUAUUUAUUAUUACAGGGUACACUUCAAAAUGGUGAACGAAUAGCUGUUAAAAGGCUUUCUGCAGGUUCAAAUCAAGGUCAACAAGAAUUUAUAAACGAGGUCGUCAUUGUGGCAGAACUGCAACACAAAAAUUUAGUUAGACUUCACGGUUACUGCUACGAAGGAACUGAAAGACUUCUUGUUUAUGAGCUUUUGCCGAAUGCAAGUCUUGACCACUUUAUACUUGGUAUGUAUCUGGAAUUCUGGAUGGUCUUUUCAGUUGUAACAGGUACUCCUUGGAAAUAGAGUACCUAAAUUUCUAUCAAUAACAAUGAUAACAUAUAUUUAUAUCACAGAUUCAGGGAAGCGUACAUGCAUGAAUUGGGAGAUACGAUACAAGAUCAUAAAUGGAGUUGCUAGGGGACUUCUUUAUCUACAUCAAGAUUCAAGACCGUCGAUUAUUCAUCGUGAUCUCAAAGCUAGCAAUGUUUUGCUCGAUGCAGAGAUGAAUCCUAAAAUUGCGGACUUCGGCAUGGCAAAGCUAUUCAACUUGGAUGAAACUCACGGAAGUACAAGUUAGGAAGGAAAAGAGACCUACGAUGGAUUCAGUAGUGCUUAUGCUAAAUACCUUUUCUCUCAGUCUUGCUGUACCUUUAAAACCGGCAUUUUUUAUCCAGAGUACCAUUGAUCAAGAACUACCAUUGCUUGCUGACAAUAUUAAUUCCAGUACCGGUAACAAUUCUAGUAACGUCGAAGAUCAGGUAAUUGUUUACUCUAUCGACAGGGCUCCGGUUACUAAUGUAUAUCCCCGAUGAUUAACUAAUACGAAAUGUAAACCGAAUGCAUACAUGUUUUUAAUGGUCUGUAAAGCACCUGGGUAACUCUGUCAGCUAUCGAUUCUUUAACCUUUUUUUUUUUCAAAUAUAUAAUAAUCUUCAUUAUUUAAUUUUGAAAUUUUCUUUCCUUCAAUAUUAUUUUUAUUUAGGAAGGAAAAAAUUAAAUAAGUAAUGAAAAAUUAAAAUAAUUUGUAAAAUUAUAUUUAUAUAAAUCUUUAGAUAUUAUGUCAAAUUCUUGGUUCAAAAAUCUGGAUGACAGAACUUUCGUUCUUGCAUACUUUAUUAUAAAAUAAUAUAAUAAUAUUCGAAAAAAUAUUUUAGGAGUACAUGACCCAUUUUAUAUAUGAAAAACUUGAAAAACUUGUAAUAAAAAAGUCCAAAGAAGAGUUGGAAGAUUAAAAAAAGAGCACAGAUAUAUACAAAUUAUGCAUAUCGAGUCUCCGUGAAUUAUAAUAGUUUAUAAAUUAUAAUGAAUUGUAUUUAAUUUCGAUUUUACGUGAAUUCUACAUGAAAUAUAUAGAUUUAAGUAAUAUUUAAAAAUCUCAUUUAUCUUGGUGAAAUUUCAAAAAUCUUAAAAUAUAAAAUAAAGCAUCUAUCAGAUUUAGAUUCUAAUGAAUACCAUCAAAUUUUAAAAUAUAAUUUUAAAUAUCUGAUUGAAAUAUAUUAAGUUUUGUAUUAUUAUUUAAAAUUUUAAUUAAUUUUUUAAUUUUUUUAAAUCAAAUUAAAUAUAUAAAAAUUUCAUAACUAAAAAUAAAAAAUAAAAUUCCGAUUAAUACAUCCUUAAGUGUAGACCUGUCAAUGGAUCGGGUUUGGAUCGGAUCGACCUAAAUCCAUAUCCAUAUCCAUUUAAUUUAGCGGAUUCGGAUCGGAUCGGGACCGGAUUUUUUUUACGCCGAUCCAUAUCCAUAUCCAUUCGGAUCAUGGAUGUCGGAUCCAUUUACUUACUACUUAUAUAUAUAUUUUUUAUAAACCUUUAACAUUACUUAAAAUACAAAUAAAACCAGUAAAUAACAAUGUUAAAAUUUAAAUUACAAAGUCAAACAUUACAUCUCAAGUCUCAAAACAAAUUACAAACUAAACUGUUCUUAAAUAAAAUAUAAAAAGAUCUGUAAGUUUUCAAACCACCGACACUCUAGGACUCAGGUCACCAAACUAGAUGAUUAGCAGAGACUGGGCCUGAAUUUGUAGUUGAUUUUAUAUUCAAAUAAUCAGUAAUGUAUGUUGUAAUUUGUAAAUACUUAUCAGGAAUAAAAUAUAUUAUUAUAUAAUAUUAAAUAUAUCUAAAUAUAUCUUUUAUAUAUAUAUAUAUAUAUAUAUAUAUAUAUAUGGUUAUAAUUACAUAGUUAAGUAGUAAUUAAACUUGAUAUAUGAAUUCUAACAUCCAAACUCAUCCAAGUUAUUAAUAUGAAAUAUUAUAGAAUCCAGACUACAAUUCAGAAUAGAAUCAUAUAGAUAUAUCUUUUGCACGAUUAUUUUACAUAGAAUCAUGUUAUUCUUAAUUUAUAUUUAUUGUUAAACAUGGUGGAUACUAUUAUCAUUCAUAAUAAAACGUUAUUCAGCUUAAAAUUUGAAUUUAAUUCAAGUUUUAGAUGAUAUUCUAUAUUUGAUUCUAAAGUGUUCUGUGUUGUUCUUUUUUUAACAGUGUUCUGUUUUGAGUAAUGGCCUAUAUAUAUAUAUUAACCGGAUCGGAUCACACUAAAUCCAUAUCCGGUCCAUUUAUUAUCAGAUUUUUUUAAUCGAAUCGAAUUUCGGAUCGGAUUUUUUUUUUUUUUACCUAUCUGUUUUCCUAAUCACUGUCUUGCCAAGUUAUAAGUCUAAGGGACACUGCAGAAAGUAGAUACCGAAAAUUGUUAUAAGACCAUCAUGUAUAUGCAUUCUAAGACUCUUCACUUAUCGUUCUCAGUCCAGAAUUUGGUGAUUCACUUGGAAGUUCUGAUGCAUUUAAGGAGCAUGGCUUUAUCCAUAUUCACCACCCCACUUAUCUGUAU